ACGUAGGGUGCAAGCGUUAAUCGGAAUUACUGGGCGUAAAGCGUGCGCAGGCGGUUGUGCAAGACCGGUGUGAAAUCCCAGGGCUUAACCUUGGAACUGCAUUGGUGACUGCACAGCUAGAGUACGGCAGAGGGGGAUGGAAUUCCGCGUGUAGCAGUGAAAUGCGUAGAGAUGCGGAGGAACACCGAUGGCGAAGGCAGUCCCCUGGGCCUGUACUGACGCUCAUGCACGAAAGCGUGGGGAGCAAACAGGAUUAGAUACCCUGGUAGUCCACGCCCUAAACGAUGUCAACUGGUUGUUGGGUGGGUUUCUACUCAGUAACGAAGCUAACGCGUGAAGUUGACCGCCUGGGGAGUACGGCCGCAAGGUUG
RNAcentral lists this ribosomal RNA (371 nucleotides) under uncultured bacterium. RNAcentral describes it as "bacterial SSU rRNA". It matches the Rfam family "Bacterial small subunit ribosomal RNA", at positions 525 to 896 of the family's 1533-position model. The record is from RNAcentral.